RNAcentral lists this ribosomal RNA (646 nucleotides) under Winogradskyella wandonensis. RNAcentral's name for it is "bacterial SSU rRNA". It matches the Rfam family "Bacterial small subunit ribosomal RNA", at positions 340 to 986 of the family's 1533-position model. The record is from RNAcentral. Lineage: Bacteria; Pseudomonadati; Bacteroidota; Flavobacteriia; Flavobacteriales; Flavobacteriaceae.
UACGGGAGGCAGCAGUGAGGAAUAUUGGACAAUGGAGGCAACUCUGAUCCAGCCAUGCCGCGUGCAGGAAGACUGCCCUAUGGGUUGUAAACUGCUUUUAUACAGGAAGAAACCUUUCCACGUGUGGAGAGCUGACGGUACUGUAAGAAUAAGGAUCGGCUAACUCCGUGCCAGCAGCCGCGGUAAUACGGAGGAUCCAAGCGUUAUCCGGAAUCAUUGGGUUUAAAGGGUCCGUAGGUUGAUAAUUAAGUCAGAGGUGAAAGUUUGCGGCUCAACCGUAAAAUUGCCUUUGAUACUGGUUAUCUUGAAUCAUUGUGAAGUGGUUAGAAUAUGUAGUGUAGCGGUGAAAUGCAUAGAUAUUACAUAGAAUACCAAUUGCGAAGGCAGAUCACUAACAAUGUAUUGACACUGAUGGACGAAAGCGUGGGGAGCGAACGGGAUUAGAUACCCCGGUAGUCCACGCCGUAAACGAUGGUCACUAGCUGUUCGAACUUCGGUUUGAGUGGCUAAGCGAAAGUGAUAAGUGACCCACCUGGGGAGUACGUUCGCAAGAAUGAAACUCAAAGGAAUUGACGGGGGCCCGCACAAGCGGUGGAGCAUGUGGUUUAAUUCNAUGAUACGCGAGGAACCUUACCAGGGCUUAAAU